Molecule: small nuclear RNA, 101 nt
Organism: Ictidomys tridecemlineatus (thirteen-lined ground squirrel)
Lineage: Eukaryota; Metazoa; Chordata; Mammalia; Rodentia; Sciuridae
Source: Ensembl
GUAUUUGCAGUAUUACAUAUACUAAAGUUGGGAUGAUACAGAGAUUAGCAUAGGCCUUGUACAAUGAUGACAUGCAAAUUUGUGAAGUGUUCCAUAUAUAC